GCUCAGUUGGUAGAGCACAACCUUGCCAAGGUUGGGGCCGCGGGUUCGAGUCCCGUCUCG
This 60-nucleotide transfer RNA is filed under the name Lachnospiraceae bacterium. RNAcentral's name for it is "tRNA-Gly". It matches the Rfam family "tRNA", at positions 10 to 63 of the family's 71-position model. From Rfam's summary of the family: Transfer RNA (tRNA) molecules are approximately 80 nucleotides in length. Their secondary structure includes four short double-helical elements and three loops (D, anti-codon, and T loops). Further hydrogen bonds mediate the characteristic L-shaped molecular structure. tRNAs have two regions of fundamental functional importance: the anti-codon, which is responsible for specific mRNA codon recognition, and the 3' end, to which the tRNAs corresponding amino acid is attached (by aminoacyl-tRNA synthetases). tRNAs cope with the degeneracy of the genetic code in two manners: having more than one tRNA (with a specific anti-codon) for a particular amino acid; and 'wobble' base-pairing, i.e. permitting non-standard base-pairing at the 3rd anti-codon position. The record is from RNAcentral. Lineage: Bacteria; Bacillati; Bacillota; Clostridia; Lachnospirales; Lachnospiraceae.